GGAUAACCUGCCCUUGGGUCCGGCAUAACCCCGGGAAACUGGGGAUAAUACCCCAUAGACUAUGGAUGCUGGAAUGCUCCGUAGUCCAAAGAUCCGCCGCCGUAGGAUGGGUCUGCGGCCGAUUAGGUUGUUGUUGGGGUAACGGCCCAACAAGCCCGUAAUCGGUACGGGUUGUGGGAGCAAGAGCCCGGAGAUGGAUUCUGAGACACGAAUCCAGGCCCUACGGGGCGCAGCAGGCGCGAAAACUUUACAAUGCGGGAAACCGUGAUAAGGGGACACCGAGUGCCAGCAUCAUAUGCUGGCUGUCCAGGUGUGUAAAAUACACCUGUUAGCAAGGGCCGGGCAAGACCGGUGCCAGCCGCCGCGGUAACACCGGCGGCCCGAGUGGUGAUCGUGAUUAUUGGGUCUAAAGGGUCCGUAGCCGGUUUGGUCAGUCCUNCGGGAAAUCUGACGGCUCAACCGUUAGGCUUUCGGGGGAUACUGCCAGGCUUGGAACCGGGAGANGUAAGANGUGCUACAGGGGUAGGAGUGAAAUCUUGUAAUCCCUGUGGGACCACCCUGUGGCGAAGGCGUCUUACCAAAACNGGUUCNACGGUGANGGACCAAAGCUNGGGGGCACNAACCGGAUUAAAUACCCNGGUNGUCCCAACCCUAAACCAUGCUCNCUAGGUGUCAGGCAUGGCNCGACCGUGUUUUGGGGCCCCNNGGGAAACCCUNAAACCNANCCCCCUUGGGAANUCCGGCCCCANGGCUUAAAACUUAA
RNAcentral lists this ribosomal RNA (763 nucleotides) under uncultured archaeon. RNAcentral's name for it is "partial 16S ribosomal RNA". It matches the Rfam family "Archaeal small subunit ribosomal RNA", at positions 102 to 859 of the family's 1478-position model. The record is from RNAcentral.